This 460-nucleotide ribosomal RNA is filed under the name uncultured bacterium. RNAcentral describes it as "partial 16S ribosomal RNA". It matches the Rfam family "Bacterial small subunit ribosomal RNA", at positions 338 to 795 of the family's 1533-position model. The record is from RNAcentral.
CCUACGGGAGGCUGCAGUGAGGAAUAUUGGUCAAUGGGCGCGAGCCUGAACCAGCCAAGUAGCGUGAAGGAUGACUGCCCUACGGGGUGUAAACUUCUUUUAUAAAGGCAUAAAGUGAGGCACGUGUGCCUUUUUGUAUGUACUUUAUGAAUAAGGCUCGGCUAACUCCGUGCCAGCAGCCGGGGUAAUACGGAGGAUCCGAGCGUUAUCCGGAUUUAUUGGGUUGAAAGGGAGCGUAGAUGGGUUGUUAAGUCAGUUGUGAAAGUUUGCGGCGCAACCGUAAAAUUGCAAUUGAUACUGGCAGUCUUGAGUACAGUUGAGGUAGGCGGAAUUCGUGGUGUAGCGGUGAAAUGCUUAGAUAUCACGAAGAACUCCGAUUGCGAAGGCAGCUUACUAAACUGCCACUGACAUUGAUGCUCGAAAGUGUGGGUAUCAAACAGGAUUAGAUACCCCUGUAGUC